Wasmannia auropunctata (little fire ant) is the source of this 434-nucleotide long non-coding RNA. RefSeq lists it as uncharacterized. The transcript is spliced from 2 exons. The record is from RefSeq and is a predicted model, not a curated record. NCBI's taxonomy places the organism in Eukaryota, Metazoa, Arthropoda, Insecta, Hymenoptera, Formicidae.
AAAAAAAAUUUUUUCCGCGUAAUGCUACAACUUCAAAAUUGAUUCACAACUGUGAUUGUUCUACAUCUAUAUUACGUUCUUGAAACGUUCUAGAUCUGAUCUCUGUUGUAGCUUUUAGUAUUUUUUGAAAACAUGAAGAACAGCCUUAACAGCACGUUUAUUAUAUAUUUUAUGGUCACUUUUGUAUUAAUAUCAACUUUUGUCACGAUGGUGGUUUCUGAAGCUUCUAUUACACGAGAUCCCUGUCCUCAUGGUUACAAAUUAGUUGAAGGACAGUGCCGCAAAGAAUUCCAGUUCGGUUCCAGAUAUGGUUAAACACAAAUACAUGAGAAUCUGACAACAAUGUGAUCACAGUUAAUAUGUCGAGAAAAAUGUAAUACAAAUGAAUGUUGCAAAUGUAAAAAUACAAAAAAAAUAAACUACAAUUGCAUAAU